This 387-nucleotide ribosomal RNA is filed under the name uncultured bacterium. RNAcentral's name for it is "bacterial SSU rRNA". It matches the Rfam family "Bacterial small subunit ribosomal RNA", at positions 28 to 417 of the family's 1533-position model. The record is from RNAcentral.
GACGAACGCUGGCGGCGUGCUUAACACAUGCAAGUCGAGCGGUAAGGCCCUUUCGGGGGUACACGAGCGGCGAACGGGUGAGUAACACGUGGGUGACCUGCCCUUAGCUCUGGGAUAAGCCUGGGAAACUGGGUCUAAUACCGGAUAUGACUCCAUGACGCAUGUUGUGGGGUGGAAAGCCUUGUGCGGCUAGGGAUGGGCCUGCGGCCUACCAGCUUGUUGGNGGGGUGAUGGCCACCAAGGCGACGACGGGUAGCCGGCCUGAGAGGGCGACCGGCCACACUGGGACUGAGACACGGCCCAGACUCCUACGGGAGGCAGCAGUGGGGAAUCUUGCGCAAUGGGCGAAAGCCUGAACGCAGCGACGCCGCGUGGGGAUGACGGCCU